Molecule: transfer RNA, 69 nt
Organism: Loxodonta africana (African savanna elephant)
Lineage: Eukaryota; Metazoa; Chordata; Mammalia; Proboscidea; Elephantidae
Rfam family: tRNA
About the family: Transfer RNA (tRNA) molecules are approximately 80 nucleotides in length.
Source: Rfam
GAAAUUUUAGUAAAACAAUUACAUAGCUUUGUCAAAGCUAAAUUACAGGUUUAAAUCUCGUAAAUUUCU